UACGGAGGGUGCGAGCGUUUGUCCGGAAUCACUGGGCGUAAAGGGCGCGUAGGUGGCGCGAUGAGUCAACGGUGAAAGCUCGACGCUCAACGUCGAGUCGGCCGUCGAUACUGUCGCGCUGGAGCACUGUAGAGGCUCAUGGAAUUCCGGGUGUAGCGGUGGAAUGCGUAGAGAUCCGGAAGAACACCGGUGGCGAAGGCGGGUCUCUGGGCAAUAACUGACGCUGAGGAGCGAAAGCGUGGGGAGCGAACAGG
Molecule: ribosomal RNA, 254 nt
Filed under: uncultured bacterium
Lineage: Bacteria
Description: partial 16S ribosomal RNA
Rfam family: Bacterial small subunit ribosomal RNA
Source: RNAcentral